UUUUAUGUUAUUUCUUCGAACAGGCAAAACAGUGAGGCCUAAUUCAGAAGCUAAGUUAAGUGAAUGCUUAUUCAGGGAUGGAGCUAGAACUAUGAGCCUGUCAGUGAUAGUGAGAACAGUUGAUGUUACUAAUCAUGUUUUGAUCUUUGUCAUUGUAGACGAAAUUUUCGUUUCUUUCGUAAUCUAAGGUUGAGAAGAAUUUACCUGAUUCAAUGAGGACUAAGAACGAACUCUGGAAUUCUCACCCAAUGACAGCAUUUGAGGAUAGUUCAACAUUGUGCAAAUGUCUUAAUUACAAAAAACUAAGCUUUCAAGUUUGGAAAGAUCUUGUAAAGAACCCAAGAAUACCUCCAAGGAUUGCAAUGCAAGCUCUUAUUUCCCAAAAAGCAAAAAUCCCAUCAAGUCUUUUUGCAAUUAAUGGAAGGCGCAUAAUGCAAGAAUAAUACCUGAUUAUGAGGCUCGGCUCCAGUCAUAACAGUUGGCAUCACAACAGUUGGCACAAUUUCAUCCCACCACGAACGACCAAAUGUCUGUGUUUUGUUCCAAAACAGGUCCAUAACCAUUUACAGUAGGAUCAUUCAUGAUUCCCAAAGAGUUGUUCACUUCAGGAGUUUCCUCCUCCAGGGGUUGUGUGGAGUCAUUUGUGUAUUUGCUAGGAAGAAUUUUCUCAUUGUAUGAAC
Molecule: non-coding RNA, 680 nt
Organism: Arachis ipaensis
Lineage: Eukaryota; Viridiplantae; Streptophyta; Magnoliopsida; Fabales; Fabaceae
Source: RefSeq, a predicted model, not a curated record